CCUACGUGUGGCUGCAGUGGGGAAUAUUGGACAAUGGGGGCAACCCUGAUCCAGCCAUGCCGCGUGUGUGAAGAAGGCCCUCGGGUUGUAAAGCACUUUCAGUGAGGAAGAACGCCUGGUGGUUAAUACCCAUCAGGAAAGACAUCACUCACAGAAGAAGCACCGGCUAACUCCGUGCCAGCAGCCGCGGUAAUACGGAGGGUGCGAGCGUUAAUCGGAAUUACUGGGCGUAAAGCGCGCGUAGGUGGCUUGAUAAGCCGGUUGUGAAAGCCCCGGGCUCAACCUGGGAACGGCAUCCGGAACUGUCAAGCUAGAGUGCAGGAGAGGAAGGUAGAAUUCCCGGUGUAGCGGUGAAAUGCGUAGAGAUCGGGAGGAAUACCAGUGGCGAAGGCGGCCUUCUGGACUGACACUGACACUGAGGUGCGAAAGCGUGGGUAGCAAACAGGAUUAGAUACCCGUGUAGUC
Molecule: ribosomal RNA, 465 nt
Filed under: Vreelandella stevensii
Lineage: Bacteria; Pseudomonadati; Pseudomonadota; Gammaproteobacteria; Oceanospirillales; Halomonadaceae
Description: partial 16S ribosomal RNA
Rfam family: Bacterial small subunit ribosomal RNA
Source: RNAcentral